This 306-nucleotide ribosomal RNA is filed under the name Triticum aestivum (bread wheat). RNAcentral's name for it is "partial small subunit ribosomal RNA". The record is from RNAcentral. Lineage: Eukaryota; Viridiplantae; Streptophyta; Magnoliopsida; Poales; Poaceae.
AUGAAUGUCGGCCUAGGGCCGGCCCAGGGGAACGCCGUGUUCCAGACGACGUUGAUGUCGGGCGCGGCCUGUGCCACCACUGCCUGUGCAUCCGCUUCCUGGGCCUGGCGCGCCUCCUGCUCGGCCUCGCGCUACUCCUCCUCGGCAUCGCGCUCGAGCAUCUCGAGGUAUUCGCUGUCGCGGCGCUCCUCGACCAUCCGUCGCUGGCGCCAUUGUUCGAGGUACGCCGCCUCCUGCGCCGGUGUCACCCCCAUUCAGACCGGCAAUGCGCUGACCCACUCGCGCACUACUCCCGCCCAAGAGUAG